Molecule: unclassified non-coding RNA, 325 nt
Filed under: Hevea brasiliensis (rubber tree)
Lineage: Eukaryota; Viridiplantae; Streptophyta; Magnoliopsida; Malpighiales; Euphorbiaceae
Source: RNAcentral
GUUUAUAUUAAUAAGUGCAAAUCAUGAUAAAAGGGGGUCCUUAAGUAAUCGCUGUGGGCACAUCGUCCCUUACUUGGUAGGACCAUAUUUUUAAUAGCUUCACUUACAGGUGAAAGGCUUUGUUCAAAUGAAAAUUGUUAAUGAUUUUCUUUUGUCUAAUCUUAGAGGCUAAUCAAUGUAUUAUCAUCAGGGAAUCUUUUGUCAUGUUUUUCCAAUGUGAAAGUGACAACAUGCGAUGGAACCCCACAGAAACAAAAGAAGGGUGACUUUGUCAAAGCAAUUGUGCGGCCAAAUUGGAUAGUCUUGGCGUGAUAAUGUCCUAUGG